AGGAGACUUCGGUCUCUGAGUAGAGCGGCGCACGGGUGAGUAACGCGUGGAUGAUCUACCCUUGAGUUCGGGAUAACGGUGCGAAAGCGCCGCUAAUACCGUAUAACAAUCCAUUUCAUCGUGGGUUCAAAGCAGGCCUCUUCAUGAAAGCUUGCGCUUGGGGAUGAGUCCGCGUCCCAUUAGCUUGUUGGCGGGGUAACGGCCCACCAAGGCUACGAUGGGUAGCUGGUCUGAGAGGAUGAUCAGCCACACUGGAACUGAAACGCGGUCCAGACUCCUACGGGAGGCAGCAGUGGGGAAUAUUGCGCAAUGGGGGAAACCCUGACGCAGCGACGUCGCGUGAGGGAAGAAGGCCUUCGGGUCGUAAACCUCUGUCAGAAGGGAAGAACAUCCGGGAGUCGAACAGCCUCCCGGCCUGACGGUACCUUCAGAGGAAGCGCCGGCUAACUCCGUGCCAGCAGCCGCGGUAAUACGGAGGGCGCAAGCGUUAAUCGGAAUCACUGGGCGUAAAGCGUGCGUAGGCUGUUUGAUAAGUCAGACGUGAAAUCCCUCGGCUCAACCGGGGAACUGCGUUUGAUACUGUUGAACUAGAGUC
This 595-nucleotide ribosomal RNA is filed under the name uncultured bacterium. RNAcentral describes it as "bacterial SSU rRNA". It matches the Rfam family "Bacterial small subunit ribosomal RNA", at positions 72 to 648 of the family's 1533-position model. The record is from RNAcentral.